Non-coding RNA from Heterocephalus glaber (naked mole-rat), 1237 nucleotides. The record is from RefSeq and is a predicted model, not a curated record. NCBI's taxonomy places the organism in Eukaryota, Metazoa, Chordata, Mammalia, Rodentia, Bathyergidae.
CUUGUCCACCGGGCAGCCGAAGACCGGAAGUCGUCGAAGCCUUUCCUUGCUAAAGUGACCCUCGAGGCCUGCACCUGCUGACAACUCACCCGCUGCCCUGAGGGUCCACCUCAGCCUCCUCGGGCUGGCGGAAGCAGCCUUCUGUGAUCCGCCCUCUGCUUGCUUAGCUUUCUGCUCGGUCCCUGGACCCUGCCUGUCCUCCUGGCUGGCCUUGCCCUGCUGUUCCAGCCACGCCGACCCCUCCCUUUCCUCCCUUCUCCACCUGCGUUCACCGUGGACACAGAGGCCUCCACACGGCACUGCCCCCACGUUGCUGUGAUGGGAGGGACGUGGUGUCCACAUGCACUUUGUGCCCGACUGCACAGCGGCCUGGUGAGCGCCUCCGCCAGGUGUCACCGCGAUCUCACACUCCUCGGAGUAGAGCCCCAGUUCAUUUCUUCCUGAAGCUCCAGUUGGGCCCGUGGGUCCUGCCUGCACAGGAAGUGGCACGGCACCCCCCAGGGUGCUCAGGGCACACUGUGGGUGGCACUUUUCUGUCGCUCCACACCCCCUUCCAUCGCGAGUCCUGCUGCUUGGACAGCCACCCGUGGGUUCCACAUCCGUGGAUUCAACCAACCUCAGGGCCUGCAAGAUUCUGGGGGACCUGGCCCUGACUUGACCCCAUCUUCAGCUACAGACCUCCAAGGCCACCACCACCAUAAGUCAUGUCAGCUGGGCUGUUUUCUUCUGUGCAUGGCGCUGCCCAGGAAAACGGAACACAUUGGCACAAACAACUUCAAUGUCACUGAUGAACCUUGGUGCCUAAGGGACAGUCCCCAAGACUCGAGGUUCAUUUUGCUUCUGGCUGGGGAGUUAUUUGAUUUAGGAGGGGUGGUUUGAAUCCUGGCUGCCCCCCUGCUGCCCCCAAGGAGAACUGCUGGGUUGGGAGGUCUUGGUGAGGCCUUCACCGGAGCGCAGCCUGCUGCAUCUGCAGCCCAGCCAGCCAGGGAGGGAAGGGGAGCCAGCGCUCCCUGAGCACCCUCUACACUUUCUCAGGCUCAGGCCAAGACCUGCCCCCUUCAGGAAUGGCCUCCCCAUCUUCCCUGCUGCCGGGAACCCUAGUUCUCACUCUCUUUGCACCCCGGCCAUUCUUAGCUGUGAUGCUCCAUACCCCACAGUCCCUCUGCUAGGGGGCGUCAGCUUGAGAGGAUCAGAGGCUCUGGGGCCCUUCUUUCUCAUAUUUUUUUUCUCCCAAAUA